Molecule: ribosomal RNA, 497 nt
Filed under: uncultured bacterium
Lineage: Bacteria
Description: partial 16S ribosomal RNA
Rfam family: Bacterial small subunit ribosomal RNA
Source: RNAcentral
GACGAACGCUGGCGGCGUGCCUAAUACAUGCAAGUAGAACGCUGAAGAGAGGAGCUUGCUCUUCUUGGAUGAGUUGCGAACGGGUGAGUAACGCGUAGGUAACCUGCCUUGUAGCGGGGGAUAACUAUUGGAGACGAUAGCUAAUACCGCAUAACAAUGGAUGACACAUGUCAUUUAUUUGAAAGGGGCAAUUGCUCCACUACAAGAUGGACCUGCGUUGUAUUAGCUAGUAGGUGAGGUAACGGCUCACCUAGGCGACGAUACAUAGCCGACCUGAGAGGGUGAUCGGCCACACUGGGACUGAGACACGGCCCAGACUCCUACGGGAGGCAGCAGUAGGGAAUCUUCGGCAAUGGGGGCAACCCUGACCGAGCAACGCCGCGUGAGUGAAGAAGGUUUUCGGAUCGUAAAGCCCUGUUGUAAGUCAAGAACGAGUGUGAGAGUGGAAAGUUCACACUGUGACGGUAGCUUACCAGAAAGGGACGGCUAACUACGUG